Molecule: transfer RNA, 541 nt
Filed under: uncultured cyanobacterium
Lineage: Bacteria; Bacillati; Cyanobacteriota
Description: partial 16S-23S ribosomal RNA intergenic spacer
Rfam family: tRNA (bases 212-284)
Source: RNAcentral
CAGGGAGACAACAAAAUGUUUAAUAUUAUUAUUUUGUCACCUUAGGUCGAUCGGUAUCUCACGUUUUUAAUUAAUUAAGAAUUUCAUUUCCUAAGUUUUUCUAGGUCACACCCAUUAUUUUUCCUGGGCCAUUAGCUCAGGUGGUUAGAGCGCACCCCUGAUAAGGGUGAGGUCCCUGGUUCAAGUCCAGGAUGGCCCAUAUCUCUAUGUUGGGGGUAUAGCUCAGUUGGUAGAGCGCCUGCUUUGCAAGCAGGAUGUCAGCGGUUCGAGUCCGCUUACCUCCACUGAUUACCACCUCUUCCAUUAUUUUUAGAAAGGAAAUGUUUUGAGUUGUGAUCAAAUUCUGAACGAUUCUAGCUUCCUAAUGUAAGCAUUAAGAUGCUGGACUCAUUGAAUUAAUUUCAUUGUUUUCAGAGAACCUUGACAACUGCAUAGAUUAUUUUUUAAAGACAAUAAGCAUCUUUAAUGAUGCAGAUUUAUUAUUUGUGCGAAUGCAUUAAUAACAAUUCUAUUAAGCUGAUGCUUCAAUUUUGAAGUUAUU